RNAcentral lists this long non-coding RNA (11832 nucleotides) under Capsicum annuum. Its description in RNAcentral is "long non-coding RNA (CANN_LNC009679)". Lineage: Eukaryota; Viridiplantae; Streptophyta; Magnoliopsida; Solanales; Solanaceae. The record is from RNAcentral.
GGCUACAAAACAACAAGUCACGGAUUUGAAUUACAAAAACACAAACGAUUACAACCUACACAAAAUGGAUAGAUAGUUAGACCUUGGUAUAAUCUUAAGAAUCCAAGAAUAUGAUAAUCUUAAACCUUUAACACUACACACAACGGUUAACCUAACUCCUACGUUGACACAAGAGGAACUUUACCUCCUCUAAACACCAACGUCUCAAGCCAACAUUGCAACACAAAUGAUAUCCACACUUGUUGCCCUCAUUUCGGUGUGUGGCUAUUCCAAGCCCUACAACUAAAGGUGUUUCAUGUUUCAAGUCUUACAUCAAUGAACAACUAAUGAGAAAAAGAUCUAAAAUGUUUUAUUUAUAUUCUAGACAAGGCAAAAUGACAACAAUGCCCUUAAAGGGUGGGGUGGCCAUGGAGUGCAUUUGAACCCAAUGAAGUGACCAAAAUACCCUUAAUGAAGAUGACCAAAUCAUGACCCAUUAAGUGUUGUCCAAAGCCGUGAGUCCUCAAGUCUUCGAUGCUCCAAGCAAUCUUCCACACACGGCCUUGCUAGUGCUCAAAAAGGGGUCUUCCUUGCAUAUUCUUGUGCCCUCGGGGUGACCAAGUCUUGAGCCUUUAAAUGAUGAUCUCCAAUCAUGUCUUCAAAAAUUAAGAUGGUCAUUUGACUUGUAUCAACUUCUUUUUCGCUACUGAUAUGAAUCAUGUUUUACACUAUUUAGUUACAAGCUCAGACUGCUAUCCAUAUAAAUACCCAAAUUCAGGUUUCUUCAGCCAUGGUGGUUUUAGAUUUACUAGUAUGUCUCAAUUCCUCUUAUGAAAACAAAGUAGUAGGUUUGAAUUGGCGGCCAGGUAUACCUUUUUCACUUUGCCAGCUUUUGGGCCAUUGAGAAAGUGUCAACCUUCUGCGAUGUUCCUCUGUUAACAAUCUUUUCUAGUUCUGUCCCAUCUGCAUAUAAUAUCCCAUCUGCAUAUAAUAUACUGGGUAUGUUGUUAUCGUCCCAUCUGCAUAUAAUACUCUAAAGACUUAGGGAACUCAGUUGGGAAAAUUUGUACUAAUUUCAUUUCUUUUCAACAUCAACAGUUUUUCAUGUUACCGAUCAGCAUGGCAAUAAGGUUACAGACAGCAAUACUAUUGGUCAUAUACAAAAGGUAAAAUAUCCCUCAUUUCCUCGCCUAUUGAUUUCAUAUUUUUUUAUGGUUUAUAUGCAAUAACUGCGGGGAUAAGACAACAAUUACUCUGACAGUUUCUUGUAUUCUUGUAUGAUAGGAUACAGAAACAGAAAAAGGAAAGAGAGGUGAAUUAAAACGUAGAAUCUUCCAAAUUUUGCUAUAAAUCAUGCACUCCAAGCUAGCCAUUGUAGUUGAUAUUAUAUUACUUUGGGUUUAUAUGCAGGCAUUGUCGACAUUUCCACACAUGCAUUUUGUUGCACCUAGCAUAUAUGAGUGUGUUACUUUCGGACACUUAUUACUUUAGGAACAUAUCGCUGGUGACAAAAAUUGUUACAGAAUAGCUGCUCAUUUGUUAGAUAAGAGUUACCAAUUCCACAAACUGAAUAGUUCCUGAUAAUGUGUUUGGAUUUGCCUAAUUUACCUGUGUGUUAUUGUCAUGAGUUUAUUGCUAUUGUAAUCCUCACUUUUACUACAGCUUUUCUUUUUUUUCACUUGAAGCCUUCCUGAACUUUGUAUUCAAGAUCCUAUUUACCCCAAUGACUACCAGUAAAAUCGUAUUCAUGUGGAGAAAAUGUAGCUGUCAUCUAGGUUGACUGAAACUGAUAAUGUAGCUACCCGAGGAAAAAAGACCUAGUUUUUAUCCAAGUUAUUAACGAUGCCAUUGAAUUUCUUAUAUUAGGCUCUAGGACCAGAAGGUUACACAUCAGGCAUACUGAAGACUUGGCCAGGUAGAAAGGUAGGAGAGAGCUCUGUGGGUGAUUACACCACAAUUGAGCUGAUCGGCAGGGAUCGUCCAGGUCUUCUAUCAGAAAUUUCUGCUGUUCUAGCCAAUCUUCAUUUUAAUGUCGCUGCUGCCGAGGUUUGGACUCAUAAUAGGCGCAUAGCAUGUGUCCUUUAUAUCAAUGAUAAUUGUUCAUCCCUUGAUGAGGAUGAAGAAUCCAGAUUGUGUGUCAUGGAAGAGCAACUCAAUAACAUUCUUCGUGGACGUGAGGAUGAUGAGAGUGGGGCUCAUGCUACUUUGUCAGUUGGUAGUACUCAUGUUGAUCGGAGGCUUCAUCAGAUGUUCGUUGCUGAUAGGGAUUACGAAGGUGGUUGUCUCGAAAUGGAGAUAGAAUACCCUCCUAACUCCAAACCAGACGUCAGAAUUGAAAGCUGUGUUGAGAAAGGGUACUCAGUGGUCAGUGUAAGUUGCAAGGAUAGACCAAAGCUUAUGUUUGACAUUGUAUGCACCCUCACAGACAUGCAGUAUGCUGUUUUCCAUGCCACUAUCUCAUCAGCUGGUCCCUCUGCAUCACAGGUAAUCUGAUUAUGUAAUUCUGAUAACUGCAAAGAUAAACUUAAGUACGGAGGGUAGAUCAUUUUAUAUAACUUGUGCCAUAGUUCCUGAGAUUCUUUCCAGUAUAAACGUGGCUCUACACUGGAAUUACUGAUGGAGUGUCAUUAAGCUUUGAUUCCAAAAUGUAAUAUGAAGAUUACUGAAUUUAUAGGAGUAUUUUAUUCGCCAUAUGGAUGGUUGCACUCUGGAAUCUGAAGCGGAGAAGGAAAGGGUUGUGAAGUGUAUUGAAGCUGCAAUUCGACGAAGGAUAAGUGAUGUAAGGGAGAUUACCUACUCUUCUUAGUCCUGAACGUUUCUCAAGAUUCGAUGCCACCAGGUAGAACAUACUUAAUUCCUUUGAUAUGCAGGGUUUCAGCCUAGAGCUGUGUGCCAAGGACCGAGUUGGCUUACUUUCUGAAGUUACAAGAGUCCUACGAGAAAAUGGGCUAUCAGUGACCAGAGCUGGUGUCACAACUAUUGGGGAGAAAGCAAAGAAUGUCUUCUACAUAAGAGAUGCAUCUGGAAAACCUGUCGAGAUGAAGACGAUUGAAAGACUGCGUGAGGAAAUUGGACAGACGAUGAUGCUUAAUGUGAAGAAAGACCCAACAUCUGCAAAGGUACCUGAAACUGGUGGUCUGGCUAAGACAAGCUUUUUCUUUGGAGGCUUACUGGAAAAGUUCCUAACUUAAAAGUUCAUCUGUUGUGAGCUUACCUACUUAUAUAGAAGAAUAAAGCAAUUAAUUAUAAGUCAAACGCAUAAAUGUGGCAAGGUUUCCCUGUAAAAAUAUGUGUAGAUACAUUGGACAAUUAUCCUUGCCAGGAUAAACAAAGGGAAAAAGAUUGGAAGAAAAAAGAACCUGCCCCAUUCAGUCUUAUUCUGUGCUGAAGUGUGGAAUUAUCCGAUGACUGUGUGCUGUUCUUGCACAAUAAAAGAUGAAAGUAUGACUUUAGGAUUAAAACUUUGGUCCAGAAAUGCUACUAUUGAAGAUUGAACAAAGAAAGCCAAUACAUUUUAGUGUACUUGAUCUUGAUGUCUAUGUUGUGUAGUUGUAGCAGCCCAAAAAUGAGCUGCUGACAUUGUUGUGAUUUUAACCUUUAGCUCCUUCAGUUUAUUAGCUGGUUGAGUAUUUUCCCUUCAUUUGUCAGUUAACUGGAAGUAUGCUUAGGUCAAUGUUUGUAACUUUAAUUUUAAUUAGUUCCUCCUAUGCUAUCUACAUGCUAGUAGAAAAUAUAACAUUGGUCAAAUGUAAAAAUACCAAACAUUGAUCCAAUCUAGUUAAACUCCUUCAAGCAGGGGUAGAUACACCAGCUUCCUCUGACAGCUGUCUCGGGACAGCGCUUCUGUCACGAACCGAGCCGAGGCCAUCGCCGCGAUGGGUUUCCGAACCACGAAGGCCUGAGAGACCCCUUAGCAUACUAUCAUAAGCAUAAUCUAUACAUAAAUCAAAGUGUGGAAGAGAUAACAAAAUUCAAGUUGAUCCUAUGAUCAAUAUAUGUCAAUAAAGUUAUGUCAAUACAACACUCAAAUUCCGUCUACAAAGCCUCUACUGUCGAGAUGAAGACUAUUGAAAGACUGCGUGAGGAAAUUGGACAGACGAUGAUGCUUAAUGUGAAGAAAGACCCAACAUCUGCAAAGGUACCUGAAACUGGUGGUCCGGUUAAGACAAGCUUUUUCUUUGGAGGCUUACUGGAAAAGUUCCUAACUUAAAAGUUCAUCUGUUGUGAGCUUACCUACUUAUAUAGAAGAAUAAAGCACUUAAUUAUAAGUCAAACGCAUAAAUGUGGCAAGGUUUCCCUGUAAAAAUAUGUGUAGAUACAUUGGACAAUUAUCCUUGCCAGGAUAAACAAAGGGAAAAAGAUGGGAAGAAAAAAGAACCUGCCCCAUUCAGUCUUAUUCUGUGCUGAAGUGUGGAAUUAUCCAAUGACUGUGUGCUGCUCUUGCACAAUAAAAGAUGAAAGUAUGACUUUAGGAUUAAAACUUUGGUCCAGAAAUGCUACUAUUGAAGAUUGAACAAAGAAAGCCAAUACAUUUUAGUGUACUUGAUCUUGAUGUCUAUGUUGUGUAGUAGUAGCAGCCCAAAAAUGAGCUGCUGACAUUGUUGUGAUUUUAACCUUUAGCUCCUUCAGUUUAAUUUUUAGCUGGUUGAGUAUUUUCCCUUCAUUUGUCAGUUAAUUGGCAGUAUGCUUAGGUCAAUGUUUGUAACUUUAAUUUUAAUUAGGCCCUCCUAUGCUAUCUACAUGCUAGUAGAAAGUAAAACAUAGGUCAAAUGUAAAAAUACCAAACAUUGAUCCAAUCUAGUUAAACUCCUUCAAGCAGGGGUAGAUACACCAGCUUCCUCUGACAGCUGUCUCGGGACAGCGCUUCUGUCACGAACCGAGCCGAGGCCAUCGCCGUGAUGGGUAUUCCGAACCACGAAGGCCCCAGAGACCCCUUAGCAUACUAUCAUAAGCAUAAUCUAAACAUAAAUCAAAGUGCGGAAGAGAUAACAAAAUUCAAGUUGAUCCUAUGAUCAAUAUAUGUCAAUAACAACUCCAUUAUCGAUAAUUCAGCAACUCCAUUAACAACAACAACAAAAUCACUAAUCAAUCUUCACCAUUGAAGACAACAUCAAAGAAAGGAGAAACUCCAUUAAGCACAAAAUGAGUAACGAUUCUUCACCAUUGUCAACAACAUCAAAGAUGUGGAAAAAAAAUUCUUUCUUUUUUACAAAAUCAGUUAACUGAUUAAGAAAUCUUUUUUUCAUUUAUUAAUGGAGCUGCUGAUUCAACAACAAUUAACUUUUAAUACUCCCUCCGUCCCAUUUUAUGUGUCAUCAUUUCCUUUUUAGUUCGUCCCAAAAAGAAUGUCAUGUUUCCUUAUUUGGCAAAUAUUUAAAAACACAACUACACUUUUACCCUUAUUGGUCCCACUUAAUUAAAAAAAAAGAUAGAAACACAUUUUUUUAUAAAGGACAAUUUGGUAAAUAUUAUCAAGUCUUCCCUUAUUUCUUAAACUCCGUGCCCGAUCAAAUGGCGACACAUAAAAUGGGACGGAGGGAGUAAUGACCAUGAGUUUGCAUAAACCUUAUCGCUUUGAGAAAGACCCGACAUAAAAUGAAUCGAUAACAUAUAGAAAGCAUAGUUUCUUAGAACCAAACAUAAUGUGAGACAUGGAUUUAUGGAUCAUGAGCAUCAUAACAUAGAGCUUAAAUACUUGUAAGCUUGGAUUGUUAAGAGACAUUAUGUCUUCUAGUUUUGAGGUCGAAACAUGACAUAAGUGUAGGGAGAACUCAAACCUUAAGCAUAGGCAUUGAAGUAGGAGGAGUUUGCUUGAAUAGGAAUAGAUUUAUCAUGACUCUUCCCUAAAACUCGCCACAAUGACAUAAUUUAAGAACUACCUUAAUUCACCAUCUCCCUCUUAGAUCAAAGUCACAUUCCUAGAUUUACGGACAUAUCCUCUCAUCAGAUCUAUAAUCACAACUCUCAACACAAUUGCGGGGGAGGGGUAUCACUAUACAGUUGAACAUCAGACUCGCCCUCGCCCUGCCCUCGCCCUGAUAAACUAUAUAAGAAAAGUACUAACUUCUUGCUAAGACAUUCCUUCCAAGGGCACUACUCUCAACUUCGUCUAGCCUCCAAGCUUGAACUCUAACCUCACUGCCUUUCAACCUUAGUUUGGAAAUAAAGAGUGACCCUUUUGAGAGAAAGCGAAAGUUUUAAGGCUUAAAGACGGGCUAUGAAAAGAUUGGAUGGUUUAUAGGACAUAAAAGGACCAAGAUAACCUUAAUACACUUUAAAAACGAACUCCCGUCGACGAAAGAAGGGAGGUCCUUGGCAUGAAGCCCAAAGUGAACCUCCAGCUCUGCGGCGCGAAGCCCAAUGCAAAGCAGCAUCCGCGAUGCAUAGCCCAGUGCGAAGCUGAGGUAGUGAGCCGUCAUGGCUCCCUUGUGGUGCGAAGCCACUGUAAACUCACCUCUUUGCGACGCACAAUCUAAUUUCCAUGCCCAAACUUUCCCCAAUGCAUUAAAACCUAUCUCAGGACGUCUUAUAUUCAAUCUUGGGAUCACGUAAGCUCGUUUUAAGCACAAUUUAGACUCCACAAACACCCAACUGUUACAAACUCUUUGCUACAACACUAAUCCUCGUAUCCAUAUAUAUAUAUAUAUAUAUAUAUCAAAAAUUUUCACUCAAACUUCUUAUAAGUUGUCAACCUAGGCCCCUUUCACACAUUACAUCAAGCCUACUAAUUCAUUCCCACAAAUCUUGCAUCACAAUUCUUCAGUUAACAUUCUUAUCACCACAAUCCACAUCCAAAGUUCAAGCCUAGUUCCUAGCACCAAUCGUGUACCACCAAUGAGAUGUCCCACAUCAAAUGUGUAUGCAAAAAUUGGAACGAUCUUAUCAAAAACUCGAGUUCAUUGAAAAACACUUCAACAGUGAUGGUAAUCGUCUCCGUCUAACGAUUUGCAAGUUUGGUGUUAACAACCAGAAAGAUCCCAUAAAGAUUUUCGAUGCGUACUUGCUCCCUGAUAAAUAUUUACCGGAUGUGUCCCUACUCAUCAGCUGAUUUACCGUUGCGAUGAUGUUGGUGAUUUUAGAUGUAUUUAUGGUCCAAUUAAUGGCUUAUUCUUAUUAGAGAAAGGACAUUACAUAGAUAACGGUCGAUUUGUCUGAUGGAACCCUGCAACGAAAGAGUGUAGGCUUAUUCCUCGUGCUGUUUUCGAGGUACAAAAAUAUUUCGAAGACAACAAGCGUAGUGUUGGAAUAGGAAUAGACCUAGCGAAUCAUGAUUAUAAAAUCAUAUGGGUACGGUUAUUUUGGGAUGAUUUGCAGAGCGAUGUUUUCCUUAAGGUUUAUGCUGUUGUCUAUUCGACGAAAAAUAACUAAUGGAAGCACUUGGAGCCGAAUUUCUCACAUGAAUGUCAACUAUGUUUAUCCCAAAAUUGUACCUACAAGAAUGGUAUGUACUAUUGGAUUAGUACUAGCAGGAGGUUUUGCAAUAGAGAGAAAAACGUGUAUUUUAUUCGAACAUUUGAUUUUUCAACUGAAUUAUUCGGGCAAUUGGAAGGACCACCAAUUCCAGGUGACCAUUGGACAUCGUUAAUGUUACGAGGUAGUACACUUGCAACUAUGUCUAGUGAUGAUGUUACACAGGAAAUGACGGCUUGUUACGAUAUAUGGGUAAUGAUUCGAGAAAAUAAUUGGAUCAAAGUUUAUACUGUGAAUCCAUCAAUACCAUCACAUUGGCCUGUUGGGAUUUGGGAGUAUGACAAGUUUAUUUUUGAACACACACAAACUUGCAAGUUGGUGUUUUAUGAUCAAACAGCUAAACAACUUACAAGUUUUGGAUUUCAAUUUUUCGAACUAGGUUGUGGCUCCGAUUGGGCUAUGAGUUAUAAGGAGAGCUUAGUUCCGAUAAGUAAAGAAAAACCGACUGAGAAGGACAAUGUUGACCUCUUCUUGAUAAAGUUAUAAACAAGCACGAGCAACGAGUUAAAGUUCGAAAAAAGUCUUUUUUAUGAUUCGAUCAUUUAUAUGAUUGAGCUGUGAAAACUUUUGCAUAGAUACCCUACAUCAGAAUUCUAAGCUGAAUUAUUUUUGGUUGAAGAAUCUCUUUCUAGUUGCUUUGAAAUAAUUAGGAGAUUCUCGAAAUACGCAAUAUCCCGCUUAUGGAAUCAAAUCAAUAUGUUCUCCCGGAGAAAUGUGAGGAUGAUAUUGUAAAUGUAGAGGUCAAAUGUUUGAAUAUGGGUUUUUGUUCCUUAUUUUGCAGUAUUUUUUUUAUUUCUCUGAAAAGAAAAGUUCAAAUUUUUGCGAUCCAAAAAACAUGUUCAUCAGGAAGUAUUGAAAUAUUGAAAACUUCAGAAUCCUUACAAGAACUCUUAGAAAUUGCCAAACAAUUUUAUUACAAAUGGACUAGUCAGCUUCAAGGUGUGUUUGGAUAAAUAGUUGGUGAUAGUUCAAGUAGAAAACACAAACAUUUGAUAGUUCAGGCAGAAACCUCGCAAAAAUGUGAUACUUCAGGUGUGUUUUUGACCAUUAUCUCUUUAAUUAAUGGUGAUUAUAUUGAGGGUCCUACUAAUGAAGAUGCCUCAAUUUCAACCCAAAUUAUAGUUGCAUAAGGCAAUUAGGUUUAUAUCAAUUGCAAAUGAAUUCAACUAAUGAACAACGAGCUUGUUAGGCCAAGUUUUUACUUUUGCCAAGAUAGCUUUUUCAGAAAAUAUUUCCUGAGAGAUGCCGCUUAUGUUUGGCCAAUCAAUUGCUUUUCCUUGUAUUUGUUGAUUCAUUUGUCGUUUUGAUGAAUAACAAACAAAGUUUAUUUGUAAGGAAAUUACGAAGUUGGUCUAGUUAUUAAAUUAAUCAGAAAAAAUUGUUUUGAACAUCUAAAGAACAUAAGAUUCGAAUUGUCAUCACACAUAAAAGUCAUAUUAUUAACUAGGAAAGUUAGGCAGCAGUUGGAAUCAAGGAUCUAUUUAUUCAGCUAAAAGAUACAAUUUAUAAGUGGUGGAAUACUAAACUUAGACCACUACUUAUUACCGCACCUGUUUUUAUACUGUGUCAACUUUGGAAGAAAAGAAAUACCAUUAAACAUGGAGGUAAGUUGUCAAUUCAUGGCAUGAAACUUGAAGUGAAUAGGAAUAUCCAUCUUUUGGUAAGAUAAGGUAUCCUUCAUUUAGAAAUCUGCCUAAUAAUUAGUCUAUGUUGGUCAUGAUUCUGGAAGCUUACAAGCUUAGCAUUCAGGCUACUAUGGUAAACUGGAAACCCCUGAUCAUUGGUGUUAUCAACUGUAAUUCCGAUGGAGCAUCUAGAGGCAAUCCUGACCCUAGUGCUGGUGCUUUCUGUAAUAGAAAUAGUGAAGGUGAAUUCAUUUAUGCCAAUUCUUUCAAUUAUGGUAUAUUAACUAGCUUGGAGGCAGAAGUUUGUGCUUUUAAGAGGGGUUUGGAGUAUUGUGUCACUCUUAUCUUAAAGAAGAUCCUAGAUGGAGUUUGGGAAGUUCCUUGAAAGAUUGCAAUGGAUAUUAGGAGGAUUCUAUGGUAGAUGAAACAAUUUCAGGUGGAAGUGGUGCACACACAAAGGGAAGGAAACAAACUGCCAAAUUUUUUUGCUAACAAAGUUUUCUUGUUUGCAGGAUAUCAAAAUAGAGAAUAUAAAUCACUGCAGGAUAUUAUAGGCGGAGAAAAAAUAAUUGUAACAAUGGACAAGUACCAGAUACACUCAAUAAGGAUUGUCAAAUGCCAGAACAAUAAUUUUUAUAUCUAAAUGGCAACCAAGGUAGACUACAAUUCAGAUGUAAACAUAGAAGAUAAACAUCUACAUCGAUAAACAUCUAUAUCUAUUCCAAUCUAGAUCUAGAACAUAUUAAAAGUGUGAAGACCUUAGAAAAGUGAUUUGAAUUUUUUUGCCCUUCAUUAAAAGAUUCUGUAAUAGAUAAAAUCGUCUUUUCAUAUUUUUCUUCAAUUUAUAUUAUUGAAUAUUGACUACAAUAAAUACAUAAAAAAGUAAAAUGGAAAAGAUUUUCUACUUUAGUUGAAUUCCUAAAUUUAUGGCAAUAUUUUGUUAGAGAGAAUCCAACUUCAAAGAAAUUAUAUUAUAUAAAUAGGUUUUAAUAUUUUUUUUUUUUUAAAUUGACUAUUUUACAUAAAAUAGAUUAUUAAGACUCCUAAAAGAAGAAGAAAGAAAAUUCUUCCAAAAAUAAUUGCAAUGCGUGUAUUCCAAUUAAUAAAGGAUAGUAGACUUCAUAAAUAGAAAGGUACUAUUUUUUUAAGUUAGGAUUAUUAUUCUUUUGUUAUAAUAUUUUAGUUUAGAAGUUCUUGUAUUUCUUUCCUUUUUCCAAUUUUACAAGUCUUUUUUUAGGUUUAUACGUAUACAUUAUUUGGAUAAUAUUACUUUAUUGUGCUCGUAGCUUUGUUAUUGGGUAACUUUGUGAUUUUUCAAUUUUAAAUUUUUAUUUAUAUUACGUUUUGAUUUUAUUACUCAUAAAUAACAAAUCAUCCUUUUAUGUUUGUGAAUAGAUUAGUUAUUGGAUCUCUAAUAUAAUGUUUUAGUUUAAUUUCCAAGUUUCGAAUUUUCUUUUCUACUAUGCUGGUUUUGUUGAUCAAAACAUCUUUUCGUGUUUGUAUAUAUGUAACUUUCAUCAUUGAAUCUACAACGUAACUUUGUUGUUUCUAGGUUUCAAGUAACUUUCGUUAUUAAGUAACUUUGUGGCUUCUAUUCAAAUAAUAAGUUUAUGAAUUUUUGUGUAAAGAUUAGGUUUAAUUAUAUUGUUUUGAUAUCUUUAUUAUCAUAUUAUCUUGUUGUAAUUUACAUGUAGUAGAUAAAUAUCGGUCGGUUUUGAAAAAACUAUUUCAGUAAAAGAUUAGGCUUAAUUGCAUUAUUUUGAUGUCUCUACUUUGAGAAUUUUUUUAUUGUAUAAAGGUUAGAUUUGGUUGUAUUGUUUUGAUGUCACUAUUAUCGUAUUGUUUUAUUGUACUUGACAGGUGGCAGAUGAAUGUCGAUCGACUUUGAGGAAUUCUUUUUGCAAAAGUUAAGUUUAAUUAUAUUAUUUUAAUAUCUCUAUCAUCGUAGUAUUUUAUUGUACUUUAUAUGUGGUAGAUAAUCUAUUUCCAUUGGCUUUGAGAAUUUUUUUUUGGUAUAUGUUAGGUUUAAUCAAACAAAUUCUCCAUCUCUACAUGUUCAAAAAUAUUGAAUUUAAUUAUUAUCUCCUUUUUUAUUAUUUAAACAAAUAUUUUAUUUAGUAUAAUAUUUGAACUCAUUAAAUUGAGAUACACGCGCGAGACGCGUAUAACUAGACUAGUACAUACAAUGGCUCCGAAAUCAAGUCGAGGGACAAUGGAUUAGACAGGCAAUAGCAAAAAAUCGGGUUUUUUUAGUCAUCAACAUAAAAACAUGCAAACAAGUGCAUUUCAGGAUUUCGAUUAAGAUUUGCAUCUUACCUUCUCCGGAGUUAGUAGAAUCAACUGAAUCAGUACUCUUACGCAGUGGUAUCAGUUCCCCGUUGAGCUCAAUCUGUCGAGGGUAUGACUUAGUCGAUUUGGUUGCUAUAGAUGAUAGGUAAUUGAAGGGCAAAGUACGAACAACUCAAUUAGUCAGUCUUGUGCUAAGAAGAGUUGAAUAAGUCUUUCUAUGGCUCGAUUUCAUGGCAUUUGUGACACGUUGGUAAAUGUCCGAAAUGAAGUCCACCAUAACUCAGCUUUCGAACAAUUUUGGCAUUGUUUUCAUAGAUCUGUAGUUAUUUCGCACACACCGUCGGCAAUCAGAGCAGUCUCAGCGUCGCCAUAUCAGAAAAGACGAUGCUCAGUAUCCACAAUAUCUAGAGACUUCCUAGCUCCCUUUCUAUUAUUUUCAGAUUUUAGUAGUUGUCUUUUUGUUUUUUUU